Molecule: long non-coding RNA, 101 nt
Organism: Maniola jurtina (meadow brown)
Lineage: Eukaryota; Metazoa; Arthropoda; Insecta; Lepidoptera; Nymphalidae
Exons: 3
Source: RefSeq, a predicted model, not a curated record
AACCGCAUUCGGUGCGACUGAGCGCCACGCACACUAUAACAAUGUGUACGUGUGCACUCACACAAGCAUAGCAAACGGUCUCCGUGAAACAGAACAUAAUA